This 224-nucleotide unclassified non-coding RNA is filed under the name uncultured Coprinopsis. RNAcentral's name for it is "sequence contains ITS1". Lineage: Eukaryota; Fungi; Basidiomycota; Agaricomycetes; Agaricales; Psathyrellaceae. The record is from RNAcentral.
UUGAAUAAAUCUGAUGUAGUUGAGCUGGCUCCCCGGAGUAUGUGCUCGCUCGUCACCUUUAUCUUUCCACCUGUGCACACACUGUAGUCCUGGAUACCUCUCGCCGCAAGGCGGAUGCAGAGAUUGCCGCAAGGCUCUCUCUGAAUUUCCAGGUCUAUGAUUUUACACACCCCAACUGAAUGUUUUAGAAUGUCAUCAUAAGGCUUCGUGCCUAUAAACCUAUA